RNAcentral lists this unclassified non-coding RNA (298 nucleotides) under Glomus sp. RNAcentral's name for it is "partial contains 5.8S ribosomal RNA and internal transcribed spacer 2". The stretch from base 1 to 71 matches the Rfam family "5.8S ribosomal RNA", at positions 84 to 154 of the family's 154-position model. The record is from RNAcentral. Lineage: Eukaryota; Fungi; Glomeromycota; Glomeromycetes; Glomerales; Glomeraceae.
GUGAAUCAUCGAAUCUUUGAACGCAAAUUGCACUUUCUGGUAUUCCUGAGAGUGUGCCUGUUUGAGGGUCAGUUAAAUAAAAAUCGUUGUUGUUGCUGCUUGUCGUGGUUACGCGUUGGGAUUGAGUUAUCUUACCUCCAUUUAAGUGACUUAAAAUUUUGCAUGAUUUUCGUACGUAUUUAAAUUUCUUACGUACUUUUGAGUUAACGGAUACUUUAUUAGGUUCGGUCAUCCUCAUUAUUCGCACCUAUAAUUUUUCUUUAAAUGACCUAAAAUCAGGUGAUAAUGCCACCUGAAC